Molecule: transfer RNA, 56 nt
Filed under: Hypochilus thorelli
Lineage: Eukaryota; Metazoa; Arthropoda; Arachnida; Araneae; Hypochilidae
Description: tRNA-Ala
Source: RNAcentral
AUAAGAAAGGUGAGGGGGGUAAAAAUUGACUUGCAAUCAAUUAAAGAAUAAGUUUA